GACAUUGUGUGUGCGCUGCAGCUGUGCCUGGUACCUUGCGUUGCCUUCCAGCAUGAAUCGAAGGUGGGGGCUGUUUCCUUCCACCUUCUAAAUCUCACGUAAAAUGUCUCUUGUGGCCCACAGGAGUUUAGAACUAUUCAAGGAGGAGUAUCCUGGCAAGAACAGUUCCAGUGAGCUGAGUCGACGCAAAACAAAGCCACCAUAGUAUCUAUUGUUAUUAAGAAUUCUUCCCAGUUCUCUUAAUCCCUCAGCUUGUUCUGAUACCUUGGAUGCAGUUACCAUUCCAGUUUCUCACGGUGCUGGAGCACAGAGUGCAAUUCCCUGCUCUUCAGCUUAUCUCUAAAUCAAUCAGCCACGGUGAUUUUGCCCCGAGGGGACAUUGGCAAUGUCUGGGGACAUUUGGGGCUGUCCAGACAUGGGGAGAGUGCUACUGGCAUCUAGUGAGUAGACUGGGAAUGCUAAAUAUUGAAUAACACACAGAGCAGCCAUCCCACAGCAAACAGUCUUCCAGGUCAAAAUGUCAACAGUCUGUGACUGAGAAAGCCUGGUGUGCAGUGCUCUUCUGUCCCUAAUGUUUCUGAGGAAGAAAUACUCGCUUUUUUUCUAAAGUCAGUUCUUUACCUUUGCUUUUUUUGUUCUCCUCACUUUCAACUCUUUAAGAACCCCAUUCAGUCUCCUCUCUUAGUUUUUACCUCACAGGCUUAACAGAUUUAACAGAUUAAAACAAUCGCAUGUGCUUUCCCCUUAGCUCUUGGAAAUUACCAUGCACUUACUACCUCUCUUUCUUUAAUUAGCAAACCCUCUAAUUGAAUGAUCCAUGUUGGUUACUCAUUUCCUCCAUACCUCUAGCCAUCUGGUGCCUCUUAGCAAAACUUUUUUAAGUUGGUAAUGAGCUUAUUCUGGCCAAAUUUGUGGAUUUUUUUUUUAAAAAGAAAAAUUAAUUGACUUUCCAGUCCAUUUCAUUUCAUUUCCUGUAUAUGCUAUCUUUAAAUUCUCUCUCUUAUCCUCCACUGGAAUCGCCAUGUCAAACUUCUAUCCCCAGUAUUCUCACAUGUUCUCUAGUCAACAUCCCCAGUGCUUCCAGGCUGCUAAAUCCCGUGAACACGUCUCAUCCUCUCCUUACUCACCUCUUUAGCAGUUCUUGAGACUUUUGUGAUUACUCCUUCCUUGAAACACUUUCCUCACUUGAUUAGCAGAACUCUACACACUCCUGGUUUUUCUCCAACCCCACUCCUUCUCAGUCUUCUCUGCUGCUCCCUCAUCCUCUUCUUGCCCUUUUAAUUUUGCAGGCUCCCGUGAUUCAGGUUUUAAACCUGUUCUAUUUUGUAUCUACAGUUCCUUCCCAAAGACCUCCUCCAGUAGUAUUACAGCUUUAGGUGUUAUCUCUAUAUUUAGGACUCCAGAUUUAUAGCAUCUGGACGCAGAUGCGGAUCUCUGGACUCCUAUAGUCGAUUACCUUUCCGGACUCUCCACUGGCUUUUCCAAAUGGAAACAUCAAUCUCUUAUGCUAAAAACUGAGCUCCUGGUAUUUUCCUAUAUCUCAGGAAACGUCGUCUUUAUCCUGUCAAUUACCCAGACCCAAUGCUUUAAAACAAUCAAGUCUUCUCUCUCACAAAGUUUAUACAUUGAGUCAGAAAAUAGCAUCAGUUCUGUCUCCAACAUACAUUUGGAUCCAACCACUUUUCAUCACCGCUAGUGCUGGACCACCAUGGGUACGUCCCGGACCAGUGCACCAGUAUCUCUCACCAAGAUCAUCCAGUCUCCCGCUUGUGCUCCCCUUCACUCAAGCUUGGUCUCUUCCACACGGACAAAACCUUCUUCAUCCAUACCUCUGGCCUUCGGAGUAUGCUUUUCUAAUAGUGAAUCUCCUCAUUAAAAAAAUUUUUUUUUAAAUUUAAAGUGUAGUUCAUUUACAGUGUUGUGCCAGUUUCUGCUGUGCACCAAAGUGUCUCAUUUUCACAUCUUCUGCAAUGGGGAUAGUCUGGGAGUUUCCAAAAUCUUCAAGUCCUGCUUCCUUUUGGCUUGAUGAUUCUUUUCUCAGUAGGUCUCUUUGCUCUAGCAUUUUAGUAUAAGCAGCAAGAAGAAGCCAGGCUCUAUCUUCAGUGCUUUGCUGGGAAUUCUCCUCGGCUAAAUACCUGAAUCCAUCACUCACACGUUCUGUUUCCUACGGAACUGUAGGUCACAAUUCAGUGAAACUCUCUGCUACUGUAUAGUGAGUAUUUCUUGUUUUCCAUUUUCCACUAGGAUGUUUCUCAUUUGCUUCUGAGACUCUUAAGUGCCACCUUUAAUGUUCACAGUUCUGCCAAUAUUCUGUUUAUGACCAUACACAUGUUCUCCAAGAUAAUAAAGACUUCCUCUCUUGUGCUUCUCCCUUCUUUCUGAGCUCUCACCAGCAUUGUCCGUAAUGUUUAUAUUUCUAUCGAUAGUCUCUUUAAAGCAAUGUAGGCUUUAUCUACCAUGUGCCUCAAAAUUCUUAUACCCUUCAUCCAUUACCAAUUCCAAAGCCACUUCCACAUUUUCAGGUAUUUGUUAUAGCAGUUCCCCUCUCCUUGGUACCAAAAUCAGUAGUGGUUUCCUGUGGCUGCUGAAACAAGUUACAAUAGACUUGGUGGCUUAAAACAACCUAAAUUUAUUCUCUUGUAAUUCUGGAGGUCAGAAGUCAGAAAUAAGUAUCAUUGGGUCAAAAUCAAGGUGUCAUCUGGGCUGUUCUCACCCGGGAGGCCUUGGGGGAGGAUAAUUUCCUUGUCUCUGUCAGCUUCUAGCGGAUAUUGGUAAUCCUUGGCUUAUGGCUUCGUCACUCUAGACCUCAAGGCCAAGGUCUUCGAACCUCUGGUAGCUCUGUCUUUGCAUUGCCUUUUUCUCUCUGUGGGUGAAUCUCCCUCUGCCUCCGCUUUCCUUGGCUGAGGGCAGCUGGCAAACACAGAUGAUCUGCAACAUACACCAACCCAGCUUUUAAACUCUCCUACCCAUUGUUUUGGUGGAGUUGAGUUCAGACUAUCUGUCUUCCCUGUUUCCAUAGUCUUGAAAAAAUUCCUCCUUACCUGCCUAACUUUGGUGCAGUUUUGGCUUUGACAGUGGUUUACUCACCAGCACACUUAAAUGAUUUCCAUCACGUACUAACCAGCACAUUUUAUUUCCAUCAAGCCUCUCCAAUAUGAAUGUAAAUGUGAUGUUACUUUUAGAGAAAAUUAUUAAAUAACUCUUUAUUUUCAUUCCUCCUAAAUUAUGGCAUGUUAAUGCUUAAGAAAAGCAUGAGAGAAAUGAGUCUUGAUCCCUCUUGCUGGAUAUGUCCUCUUUCAUCAUCUCAUUUUUAUAAAUUCCCUGAUCAAUAACCUUGUUAUGCUUAUUUUUUCUCAUUUGCAGCUGUUAAAUUGUGAUUUUAAAAAAGAUAAAAGCGUGACUUCCAUGAAAAUAUAAAAUAAGAUUUCAUUUAACUCACGAAUGAAUGAGGAAGUCAAGUAGAUGUUUUAUCAGAUUCAAAAGAAUAUCCUGGCUUCUCCACAGUGAAGGAGGGAGGUUGAUUAACUCUGGACAGAGCAGAUUUGCAUAUCUAUAUAUAAGAAUUAUUUUUCAUUGCUAUCAGUUAUCUAUAAUUUGCAGAGAUACAGAAUAACUGCCAUAGAAUCAUAAGCAGAUAAAAUGGAGAUGUGGUGUAGAAAAUGCAUAGUUUUUCCUUUGAAGCACAAUUUUUUUCCUCCAGAGUCUUGAUUCAUUUUUUUACUGUUGAUGCAGAGUUGUGGUAUGAAAGUUCUGGAGAACUAUGAAAAUUUCUUAGCAUUAGGGUUUGGGUAACUGUUUUAUUCAUAAUAAGAAAGGGAUACAAGGUUAGAGUAUUUUCAAUAGAAGCAGCCAAUGAGCCUGAGAAAGGAUUUAGUGAAAGGACUGUUACAUUAAAGGAGCAUGAAGUCAGACUCUCAAGAUGGAAGGAGCUUCAGCUUUUGUGCUACUGACAGACACAUAAGGAGGGAGAAAAAGUCAAUUUGAUCAGAGUGCACAUGAUUUUUUUAUGUUUGAAAUAGAAUUGGCCUGACGGAUAGCCCAUGAGCCCUUUGAACCUCUGCAGUGUGCUUCUGCUUAUAGACACCUAGGACCAAGAUAAUUGAGCCAGACAGUCCUGGGAUGAGUCUGCAAAAGCUUGGGCAGGAGGUGUGCUCGAAAGGGAAAUUGAGUGGGCAUGAGACGAAAGGGGUGUUAAACUGUUUGGUGGUUCAUUAUGACCCCCAAAGUCAUCAAUGCCACGUUUCAUCAGCCCUGAGUGAUCUUUGCCUCAGUUUGGUGUACAACGUUGUGUGCCAUAGAGUAGUUAUUGUUAGAUGUCCUCACAUCUUAGGGACAAUAGGAACAAUAUGCAAAUUAGCCAUGGGUAAUGUUCCUAGCCAUGUACAAUUACGGGUAUUUAAAAUUUUUAGAUGCAAAUUAAACCCAGAGUUCCUUGCGGAUAGUGCCAAUUUUCCUCCAAAUAACAUGUUGCAGAGAUAGGAUAAUUCACCAUAAGCGUCUGUACCAGCAAUAGUAGCUUGGCACAUAUGUAGAUGCUAUUCAGUCACUGUGUAUGGUAUUGACUGAUUUGAAAAGCAUCCAAGGAGAGUUUUAAUUUUUCUAUGAUUAAAAAAAAAACAUUUGAUGCUCAGUUAUUGAAAAAGAAGUGCUGACUUCAGAGCGAUGGUGUAACAUUGUGUUACUAACAUGUGUGUUCAUUCUACCUUCAUUUUCCUUCGUGUUCCUAUAUAUUGGAUGUUGUUUACAUCCUCUCCUUACAGGGGAACCAAAACAUAGAAUUCAGGAACACAUCAGUAGCAUAAAUGUAAAUAAACUUGCACAUGUCAUUGGAAAAAAAAAAAAAAACUCAGCCUGGGGAAAUCUUUCUGCUCUACGAUAGGAACAGGGUUACCUAGAACCUCGUAGUCUCCAGCUGUGUUUGUAAUUAUAUAUAUAAUGUAUUUUGAUUGCUAAGCAAUAGGCCUAUGGAAUCAAGCAACAUGGAAAUAAAACACACUGACCUCUUUGAUUACAGAGACGCUACAAACUAUUUCUCAUAAACCACUAGGAUAUCCAGAACAGUGCUUUCAAAGUCAGUAUUCAGUAGUGCUUUCUUUCUACUCUUUCUUCUCCUGCUCUUCCUUGUUUGGAUGUGAGUUUGUGGAGAGUGGAAGAGGAGACAACACAGUACAGAAUAAGAAUUAAAAAAACAUAAUACAGUGUGAAAUAUUGGAGGAGAACAUUUUAAAUCUGCAAAUGAUUCUUUAUCUGAAUUUGAAUUAUAGAACUCCUAGAAUUUCUAUAAUUUUUAUUGGCAAAUGGUUUUCAGAUAUUCAAGAAGGAAGAAAUAUAUUUUCCAUGUGUUUUCCAUAGAGAAUUUCAUGAAGAAAAUAAGUAGUUGAUUUAAUUUUUAUUUAUUCAAUUUUUAAUUUUUAGUGGUGUUUUCAAAUUUAAUAUUAAAAAUUUGUGUUACUUUAAAAAUUGAAGUAUAGGUUAUAUAGUAUUUUAUGUUACAUGUGUACAAUAUAGUGACUCAUAAUUUUUAAAGGUUACACUCAUUUAUAGUUAUUAUAAAAUGUUUUCUGUAUUCCCUGUCUUGUACCGUAUAUGUUUGUAGCUUAUUUUAUACCUAAUAGUUUUGACCUCUUAAUCUCUUACCCCUAUAUUGCCAUCCUCCCCUAACCCCGGUAAUCAUUCAUUUGUUCUCUAUAUCUGUGAGUCUGCUUCCUUUUUGCUAUAUUCACUAGUUUGUUGGAUUUUUUGAUUCUACUUAUAAGUGAUAACAUACAAUAUUUGUCUUUCUCUGACUUACUUCACUUUGCAUAAUGCCCUCCAAGUCCAUCCAUAGUACUACAAAUGGAGAAUUUUCAUUCUUUUUUCUAUGGCUGAGUACUCUUCCAUUGCGUAUACAUAUACCAUACAUAUCUGUCUCACAUCGUCUUUAUACAUUCAUCUGUUGAUGGACUUAAAAGUGUUAUGGUGUCCUCAAAAGGCAAUGGUAUUGGGUAGAGAAUAGACUUAGCAUAGGGAAUAUGUUUCUUUUUCUUUCUUUCUGCAUGCACCUGUAGCAUGUGGAAGUUCCACAGCCAGGGAUUGAACCCGUCCUUAACCAUCUGCGCUACAGGGGAACUCCCUCUUUUUUCUUUUUAAAUCUUGCUUCUUCUUAGCAUGGAAUCUGUGUGGUAUUUCAUAAUUAUCAAAGCUCAGACCAUCGAACAAGAAACAUAUGCUAUACAGGAGUUCCCGUCGUGGCUCAGUGGUUGACGAAUCUGACUAGGAACUAUGAGGUUGCAGGUUCGAUCCCUGGCCUUGCUCAGUGGGUUAAGAAUCCAGCGUUGCCGUGAGCUGUGGUGUAGGUUGCAGACGCGGCUCAGAUCCCGCGUUGCUGUGGCUUUGGCAUAGGCCAGCGGCUACAGCUCUGAUUAGACCCCUAGCCUGGGAACCUCCAUAUGCCGCGGGAGCGGCCCAAGAAAUAGCAAGAAAAUGGCAAAAAGACAAGAGGACAAAAAAAAAAAAAAAAAAAAAAAAAAAAAA
RNAcentral lists this long non-coding RNA (6513 nucleotides) under Sus scrofa (pig). RNAcentral describes it as "lncRNA (ENSSSCG00050066533.1)". Lineage: Eukaryota; Metazoa; Chordata; Mammalia; Artiodactyla; Suidae. The record is from RNAcentral.